This is a long non-coding RNA of Pyrus x bretschneideri (Chinese white pear), 975 nucleotides long. RefSeq lists it as uncharacterized. NCBI's taxonomy places the organism in Eukaryota, Viridiplantae, Streptophyta, Magnoliopsida, Rosales, Rosaceae. The transcript has 4 exons. The record is from RefSeq and is a predicted model, not a curated record.
AAAUGGAGAAAAAUGGGUAGUAUUUAUAGGGCAUGGCCGGUUCCCUUUGGAGAAAAGGUGGCCGGCCUUUGGGAUGCUUUUUGUGUGCAUUUUGUGGUUUAAUGUGUGAGUUAUUUGGCAAUUAAUGGAUUAAUUAGGUAAUUAAUCCAUUAAUUAGCCAAUUAAAACAUUUUUGGAAUGAAUAUUUUGGAGGUUAUGUAAUUUAUGUUGAAAGUUUUGAAGGUUAUGGAAUGAUUUCCUUGUAGAGGAUAUGAAGUAAAGAUGGAUGAGAUAAAUUUGAACUUGUUACCUAUUUUGGGCACUCUUGACUCGGUUGAUGGAUGAUUCCCCACUGCUCGCGUGUAGGAAACCUGGCAGAAAAAGGAAGAUGCUCACUGUACUUCGGAUAAUUAUGAACUAAGAGCAGGGCAAUGGCAGGAACUGGACCUUCCGUUGAAUACAUCUUCUUGGAGCAAGGAGGACCUCAAAAACCCUGAAAAAUUCUAUGAAAUGACCGUUCUUCUAAAUGCUCAAAGAGAAUUAGGUGACAAAAUUUUGGAUGCGCAGUGGGAGACUAGAUGGCGUCAAGAAAUGUUGAAUGAGAUGUUGGAGGAAGGUACGACCGUACAUGCAGAAUAUUGACGGUGGGACGACCCUCUCCCAGCCCAUUAUAUUACAAUCACCAGAUCAGAAUCAGAAGAGGACCCGACAAUGGAGAUGGUGGUUCUUUUGAUGAUAUUUCAGCCAUUUUUGUACCCGGAAAGCACCACAGAUCGCCUCUUGUUCUUUUCAUUUUGUAUGAUUUUGUCGCUACACUGCCCUCUUUAUUAGUUUAUUUCCCUUGUAACUCUCAGCUUAAUCUAUUCCUUUUUUGAGGCUAUUGGGAGACCGAUUGAUGUAAAUGAGGAGCAAAUGACUAGCGUAGCCUAUUGUCAUAUUGACGGUGCAUCCCGAAAUUUAUAAGCCUUUUAUCUAUGAUGAGCAAAGUUCAGUGUA